AGAACGAACGCUGGCGGCAGGCUUAACACAUGCAAGUCGAACGCUCCGCAAGGGGAGUGGCAGACGGGUGAGUAACGCGUGGGAACAUACCCCUCGGUUCGGAAUAACUCAGGGAAACUUGAGCUAAUACCGGAUACGGUCGAGAGGCGAAAGAUUUAUCGCCGAGGGAUUGGCCCGCGUCCGAUUAGCUAGUUGGUGAGGUAAUGGCUCACCAAGGCGACGAUCGGUAGCUGGUCUGAGAGGAUGAUCAGCCACAUUGGGACUGAGACACGGCCCAAACUCCUACGGGAGGCAGCAGUGGGGAAUAUUGGACAAUGGGCGAAAGCCUGAUCCAGCCAUGCCGCGUGAGUGAUGACGGCCUUAGGGUUGUAAAGCUCUUUCGUCAGGGACGAUAAUGACGGUACCUGAAGAAGAAGCCCGGCUAACUUCGUGCCAGCAGCCGC
Molecule: ribosomal RNA, 443 nt
Filed under: uncultured bacterium
Lineage: Bacteria
Description: SSU rRNA
Rfam family: Bacterial small subunit ribosomal RNA
Source: RNAcentral